UUCAACAACUAUGGGAUUUCCUGAGAACCCGAUGAGUGGGAUACCGACCUAUUUUAGCAGACCUAUCAAAUUUAUUUUUGAGAAUAUAUUAUAGAACAAUAUAUCGAUAGUGCUUCCAUUAUUAACCAGAAUUCUUUUUACAUUAUAUUUUGCUAUUGUCAUGAAGAUGACAAUAGCAUUAUUAUAUAGGGUUUGAAUCCCCUCUACAUCAUUUUCAAAAAAAGAGAUAAUUUCUUCUAUCUUUUGCCUCUUGGG
This 255-nucleotide long non-coding RNA is filed under the name Elaeis guineensis (African oil palm). RNAcentral describes it as "long non-coding RNA (EGUI_LNC023617)". The record is from RNAcentral. Lineage: Eukaryota; Viridiplantae; Streptophyta; Magnoliopsida; Arecales; Arecaceae.